CGACACUCUACUGGAUCGCUCAGCGUUGACGCUCAAGCCUCCUGCCGUAUUGAAUUAAAGUUCUCAACGCUCAGCAGUGGAUUCUGGCGCUCAGCGGUGGCAACGAUUCUUCAUUCACCCCUCAGCGCUGGCGCUUAAGCGUUUUGCCGUAUUGAAGUCCACAAUGCUGACGCUCAGCAUUGGAAUCGGCGAUGAGAGGUGGGAGCAAUUCCUCUUUUGCACCUUUCUUCAUCC
Molecule: long non-coding RNA, 234 nt
Filed under: Vigna radiata
Lineage: Eukaryota; Viridiplantae; Streptophyta; Magnoliopsida; Fabales; Fabaceae
Description: long non-coding RNA (VRAD_LNC017311)
Source: RNAcentral